Molecule: ribosomal RNA, 468 nt
Filed under: uncultured bacterium
Lineage: Bacteria
Description: partial 16S ribosomal RNA
Rfam family: Bacterial small subunit ribosomal RNA
Source: RNAcentral
GACGAACGCUGGCGGCGUGCUUAACACAUGCCAGUCGAACGGAAAGGCCCUGCUUUUGUGGGGUGCUCGAGUGGCGAACGGGUGAGUAACACGUGAGUAACCUGCCCUUGACUUUGGGAUAACUUCAGGAAACUGUGGCUAAUACCGGAUAGGAGCUCCUGCUGCAUGUUGGGGGUUGGAAAGUUUCGGCGGUUGGGGAUGGACUCGCGGCUUAUCAGCUUGUUGGUGGGGUAGUGGCUUACCAAGGCUUUGACGGGUAGCCGGCCUGAGAGGGUGACCGGCCACAUUGGGACUGAGAUACGGCCCAGACUCCUACGGGAGGCAGCAGUGGGGAAUAUUGCACAAUGGGCGGAAGCCUGAUGCAGCAACGCCGCGUGCGGGAUGACGGCCUUCGGGUUGUAAACCGCUUUCGCCUGUGACGAAGCGUGAGUGACGGUAAUGGGUAAAGAAGCACCGGCUAACUACGUG